UUGACCUCGAAUCAGGUAGGGAUACCCGCUGAACUUAAGCAUAUCAAUAAGCGGAGGAAAAGAAACCAACCGGGAUUACCUCAGUAACGGCGAGUGAAGCGGUAACAGCUCAAAUUUGAAAUCUGGCUCCUGCGGAGUCCGAGUUGUAAUUUGUAGAAGAUGCUUUGGGAGGUAGGGCCGGCCUAAGUUCCUUGGAACAGGACAUCAGAGAGGGUGAGAAUCCCGUAUGCGGCCGCGGCCUACGCCCGUGUAAAGCUCUUUCGACGAGUCGAGUUGUUUGGGAAUGCAGCUCAAAAUGGGUGGUAAAUUUCAUCUAAAGCUAAAUAUUGGCCAGAGACCGAUAGCGCACAAGUAGAGUGAUCGAAAGAUGAAAAGCACUUUGGAAAGAGAGUUAAACAGUACGUGAAAUUGUUGAAAGGGAAGCGCUUGCACCCAGACUUGGGCGUCGUCGAUCAUCCGAGGUUCUCCUCGGUGCACUCGACGAUGCACAGGCCAGCAUCGGUUUGGGUGGUUGGAGAAAGGCUCUAGGAACGUAGCUCUCUUCGGGGAGUGUUAUAGCCUAGGGCGUAAUGCAGCCCAUCCGGACCGAGGACCGCGCCUUCGGGCUAGGAUGCUGGCGUAAUGGUUGCAAGCGACCCGUCUUGAAACACGGACCAAGGAGUCUAACAUCUAUGCGAGUGUUUGGGCGUUAAACCCAUACGCGGAAUGAAAGUGAACGU
RNAcentral lists this ribosomal RNA (719 nucleotides) under Golovinomyces monardae. Its description in RNAcentral is "eukaryotic LSU rRNA". It matches the Rfam family "Eukaryotic large subunit ribosomal RNA", at positions 1 to 732 of the family's 3401-position model. Lineage: Eukaryota; Fungi; Ascomycota; Leotiomycetes; Helotiales; Erysiphaceae. The record is from RNAcentral.